GAUCGGCGAGGAAUACGAUACCCGCCGCACCUUCGAGAAUCAAGUGUUGCUUCUGGGGGGAGUAUGUCGCAGCUGAACUAAAGGAAUUGACGGAAGGGCAUCACCGGGUGUGGAGCUGCGGCUUAAUUUGACUCAACACGGGAAAACUUACCAGGUCAGGACAUAGUGAGGAUUGACAGAUUGAGAGCUCUCUCUUGAUUCUAUGGUUGGUGGUGCAUGGCCGUUCUUAGUUGGUGGAGUGAUUUGUCUGGUUAAUUCCGUUAACGAGCGAGACCUGGGCGUGCUAACUAGGGGCUACUACCAUUUUGGUAGUACGCUUACCCUUCUUAGACGGACUGUGGGCGUCUAGUCCGCGGAAGCUCCAGGCAAUAACAGGUCUGAGAUGCCCUUAGAUGUUCUGGGCCGCACGCGUGCUACACUGAGUGGAUCAGCGGGUCAGGUUGCGCGAAAGUGUUUCCUAAUCUUGAAAUCCGCUCGUGAUGGGGAUUGACGGUUGCAAUUUUCCGUCAUGAACGAGGAAUACCUUGUAAGCGCGGGUCAUCAUCCCGCGCUGAAUACGUCCCUGCCCUUUGUACACACCGCCCGUCGCUCCUACCGAUUGAGUGGUCCGGUGAGGCUUUGGGAUCUAGGCAAACAGAGCGUUUCGCUUGGUCUGCCCGGAGAACUCAGUCGAACCUUAUCAUUUAGAGGAAGGAGAAGUCGUAACAAGGUUUCC
This 715-nucleotide ribosomal RNA is filed under the name uncultured eukaryote. RNAcentral's name for it is "SSU rRNA". It matches the Rfam family "Eukaryotic small subunit ribosomal RNA", at positions 1050 to 1804 of the family's 1831-position model. The record is from RNAcentral.